CUCGCACCCUCGACUGCUGCCACGACUACGCCCAGGCCUGCCCAGUCAUCCCCUGUGUUGUAUCUCAGUGGAGUGCCUGGAGUGGCUGUGCAGAGCCUUGCAAGACAACCUAUCGUGUCAGGACGAGGCACAUCAUCCAGGAGCCCAGGAACGGGGCAGAAGCAUGCCCUGCUCUGGAGGAGAGGGCUGGCUGUGUAGAGUACUGGACUCGGCGAGGAACAGAGUGCCAACAGUCCCUGAUCCCGGCAUUAAUAACUAAGGGAGGGUUUGGAAAAGCGAGGAAGAAAAGAGCUGCAGCUGAUGGGAGUGAAAGGGCAGGGUACUGCGUGGAGUUCCAGCUCGUGGCCCUGACGCCAGGCUGCCUGCACAGGCAGCACUCGCACGCCGGCUGGACCCGCUACCUCAGGGAGGGCCACAGAGUCUGCGUGGAGUGCCAGCACCCAGCCCUGCAGCCCCCGAGGCAGCGCUGCUACGGUGAUGGCGCUGGCAGCCAGCAGAAUCAGUUGUUGCACUGGCAGGCGGUGGGGAACCAUCAAUGCAAGGGAACCUGGAGGAGAAUUCGCCAGCUGGACACUUGUUCCUGCCCUUCUGUUCACAGCUUCUUGUUCAUCUGACUUCUCUUGGCAGUCCCAGCAAGCCCCAGUGUGCAGCAGCAGCAGGGGUCAAAGCAAGGGGUCCCAGCCAAAGCAAGGACUUCUCCAUGUCAUGUCAGAGGCUUUGCUUUCACUGCCUUCCAGAGGUUGCUGACUGUACAGGGGUACCUGGAAUCCUCUCUGUGUGUGUGUUCUUCUUGAUUUCUAAGGAAAUCAUGCUGGCUAGGAAGUGCUUUCUUUUUUCCUUGAGAGAAUCUUGUCUGACCUUGAUGACUUCUUGAAAUUCCUCCUUUCUGGAAAGGAAUGAGAAUUUACCAAAUAACAAAUCAAACAAAAAAGGCCAUAAGAAGCAGGAUUUAAUUACUUUUUUUAAAGUCUCAGUGAAGAAGAAGCAAUGCAAAAUAAAUUAAUGCAUGUGCCUUCUUUUUGUGGCAACAGCACUUUGUGGAUAUUCCUGCUUGUGCAUCUAUUCCCUCUAUUUUCAUCCUCCCUGGUCUCAUAAUUUCGUUUGGCCCUCAGUCUUACAGAGGGUUGAUCUUGUGCUGCUGAGGUAAUGAUAGAACUUAGAAAUGUGCUUGUCAAAUCUGUGAGAAUAGGGACAAGCUGGCCCUUGGACUUCAGCCUCAAGGAACAUCUCUGAGUUGGCCCAAAAUGCAAUGCAAGUCCUGGGGCUCUAAAUAGGAAGUCAGCUCAGCUGUGCCAGGUGGACUACACCCUUGUGUUUUUUACUGGAAAUGUUUUGAAAUAUUUUCCUUAUA
Non-coding RNA from Pseudopodoces humilis (Tibetan ground-tit), 1351 nucleotides. The record is from RefSeq and is a predicted model, not a curated record. Lineage: Eukaryota; Metazoa; Chordata; Aves; Passeriformes; Paridae.